Long non-coding RNA from Gossypium raimondii (Peruvian cotton), 953 nucleotides. RefSeq lists it as uncharacterized. The record is from RefSeq and is a predicted model, not a curated record. Lineage: Eukaryota; Viridiplantae; Streptophyta; Magnoliopsida; Malvales; Malvaceae. The transcript is spliced from 2 exons.
CUUUUCUUCUUUCCUUCUUCUUUUUCUUCCUUUCUUUCUUCCCCGAUCAGCAGCACCCCUUGUGUCACCGGUGACGUCUCUCCGCCUGGUGCGACGGCCGACGGUGGCGCGCACGGAGGUUGCAGGUAGCUAGGGAGGGUAGGCCGGCUGCCGCCUGUUGUAGGUGCAACUUGCGUGGUGGCUGCCAGAAGGACUGAAUCGUAAACACAGCAAAAGUUUUGGGGCAAAAGUGUCAUUCUGAUAAAGUUCAAGGGUUAAAAUGUAAUUUCAAGAAAGUUUAAGGGUCAAAAUGUAAUUUAGAAAAGUUUAGGGGUUGAAAUAUAAUUUCGAGAAAGUUUAGGGGUCAAAAUGUAAUUUUAGAAAAGUUUAGGGGUCAAAAUGCAAAUUUUUAUUAUUUUUUUAUUUUUUUAAAACACGAAAUUAUUCCCGAACAAAAUUCAGUGAUUACAUCGUGUGUUAGGUCGUGUAACACACUAUUUACUGAAUACUAGCUACACGGGCAAGAAACACGGGUGUGUGCUCAGGCUGUGUGUGGGCAUGUUAGUGCAGGGUUCACACUGGCCAAGGACACGGGCGUAUGUCCAGGCCGUAUGACUCGCUGUUUGUGAUUUAGGACCACACGGGUAGACAACAUGGACGUGUUUCAGGACGUGUGGGUCUAGUUUGGAAUUCAUCUCUGGGGCCGUAAGCGUUGUUAACGCAAAUGUAAGUCGUCCGUAGUGUAUAUAUAUAAUCUAAAUUAGACCGUAUGAGUGUUAUUGGAUAAUUUGAGACUGAGAUUCUGAUUAUAGAAAUGUUAUUGAAUCUGAAUGACUGUACGUACAUUUUGACAUCUGUAUCUGUAUUUGUAUUAGGUAGGAACCGAGUAAAAAAGGAAGUGAUCUAUUCUGAGUCGAUGGCUAGGCCACGGCUUAUAUAUGAAUCAAGCGUUUAUUCGCCUAUUGGUUAGCUAA